GACGAACGCUGGCGGCGUGCCUAAUACAUGCAAGUAGAACGCUGAAGGAGGAGCUUGCUUCUCUGGAUGAGUUGCGAACGGGUGAGUAACGCGUAGGUAACCUGCCUGGUAGCGGGGGAUAACUAUUGGAAACGAUAGCUAAUACCGCAUAAUAGUAGAUGUUGCAUGACAUUUGCUUAAAAGGUGCAAUUGCAUCACUACCAGAUGGACCUGCGUUGUAUUAGCUAGUUGGUGGGGUAACGGCUCACCAAGGCGACGAUACAUAGCCGACCGGAGAGGGUGAACAGCCACACUGGGAACGAGACAAGGCCCAGACUCCUACGGGAGGGAGUAGUAGGGAAUCUUCGGCAAUGGACGGAAGGCUGACCGAGCAACGCCGCGUGAGUGAAGAAGGGUUUCGGAGCGGAAAGCUCGGUUGUAAGAGAAGAACGAGUGUGAGAGUGGAAAGUUCACACUGUGACGGUAUCUUACCAGAAAGGGACGGCUAACUACGUG
RNAcentral lists this ribosomal RNA (495 nucleotides) under uncultured bacterium. RNAcentral describes it as "partial 16S ribosomal RNA". It matches the Rfam family "Bacterial small subunit ribosomal RNA", at positions 28 to 507 of the family's 1533-position model. The record is from RNAcentral.